This is an RNA transcript of Andrographis paniculata, 3893 nucleotides long. It is a transcript of the gene named peptide methionine sulfoxide reductase A1-like, with no coding region annotated. The transcript is spliced from 5 exons. Lineage: Eukaryota; Viridiplantae; Streptophyta; Magnoliopsida; Lamiales; Acanthaceae. The record is from RefSeq and is a predicted model, not a curated record.
AGGCUAAAGCUUGUAGCAGUAGAGUUUGCCGAAGAGUCGAUCUUCAUUAUUCUUCUCUACCGAAAAAAUGCUUCUGAAAGCCCUCACCAUUUCCCCACCUUCCUUCCUCAAAACCUCUUUCUCCAUCCCCAAAUUCUCCUUCCCUAAUCCCUUCCAAUCGCCGCGGAGUUCCAUACCCAAACCCUUCGCUGCCGUCAGGGUGGGCGGCUGGCUGAACAAGCUCGGAUUCGGCGCGCGCUCCGCCGCGACGGAGUCGUCGUCGAUUGCGCAGGGGGUCGACGACGACUUGGCGGCGCCUGGGCAGGAGUUUGCGCAGUUUGGUGCGGGUUGCUUCUGGGGAGUCGAAUUGGCGUUCCAGAGAGUGUCGGGGGUUACCAGGACUGAGGUUGGGUACAGCCAGGGUUAUCUGCAUAAUCCGAGGUAUGAAGAUGUGUGCUCCGGCACCACCGGCCAUUCAGAGGUCGUUAGGGUUCAGUAUGACCCUAAGGAGUGCAGCUACGGGAAGCUUCUCGACGUGUUCUGGGCGAGACAUGAUCCGACGACUCCCAAUCGCCAGGGGAAUGAUGUAGGGACUCAAUAUCGAUCGGGAAUAUACUUCUACACGCCCGAGCAGGAAAAGGUAGCUCUUGAAUCCUGCGACAGGCAACAAAAGGUCUUGAGUAGAAAGAUUGUGACUGAGAUACUGCCUGCAAAGAAAUUUUACAGAGCUGAAGAGUAUCACCAGCAGUACCUUGCAAAGGGUGGUCGGUUUGGCUUCAAACAAUCGUCUGAAAAGGGUUGCAAUGAUCCAAUCCGGUGCUAUGGCUGAGAAUUUCUUGCUAUGGAGCCCACAAAGAAGUUGCCGAUAUUGAUGCAUGAACAUCCAAGGCUAUGGAGUCUGUAAAGGAGUUGCAGAAAUUGUUCUACAAACAACCAGUGUUGGAUGCCUCACAUUGGAUGCCUCACACGCAGACUUGUUGAAGUAAUAUGUACUGAUGGUUGAAUUGAGAUAACAAAUGGUCAAGCGCCGAUGAGCACAUUGAACUAUCCACGUGGCUCAGAGUCUUCACAGUCUAGGCAGUAUGACGCUAUUAUCAGAGGCACACUCUACCACUGAGUUAAUAGCAUGCCGUGCGAGCCCUUCAAUGGGGCCCAUUAUGCCAAAAGCAUUCAAUGUUGGAUACUUCAAACUUCUUCAAUUAGCAAGUAUUAAUGACUAAGAGGACCAUACCAAAGAUGAUUUCACUCCAAUGCGAGCAUAGAAGAUCAAGUCCAUGUACUCCUUUAACACAAAGCUUUUGCAUGGGUUUGUGGCCUUGGUUAACGGGAGUGAUAGCAACAAUAUACAUAGAGAGCCUUCAUUUACCGAACAAAUCCACUUAAUUGUUCAACAUAAAGCCCAUAGAGAAGCUGCGGAUAUUGAUGCAUAAACUUCUAAGGCUAUGGAGUCUGUAAAGGAGUUGUAGAAAUUGUUCGACAAACAACCAAUGUUGGAUGCCUCACACAGACUUGUUGAAGGUCAAGCGCCGAUGAAUACAUUGAACUAUCCACGUGGCUCAGAGUCUUCACAGUCUAGGCAGUAUGACACUGUUCUCAAAGGCACACUCUACAACUGAGUUAAUAGCAUGCCGUGCGAGCCAUUCAAUGGGGCUCAUUAUGCCAAAAUCAUUUAGUGUUGGAUACUUCAAACUUCUUCAAUUUGUAAGUAUGGAUGACUAAGGAGACCUUCCCAAAGAUGAUUUCACCCUAAUGCAAGCAUAGAAGAUCAAAUCCAUGUACUCCUUUAACAUAAAGCUUCUACAUGGAUUUGUGGCCUUGGUUAGCGGGAGUGACAGUAACAAUAUACACAGAGAGCCUUCAUUUCCAGAACAAAUCCGACUAAUUGUUCAACAUAAAGUUAUUGCAUGGAUCAGACUUGGUGGCCUUGGUUAGAGGAGUGAUAGUUUCAUUUCCCAUUUCAAAAGUGUUUGGAUUUCCAAAUGUGAAACUAGUCAUGUUUUUCACUCAAAUAUUUUGAGGGGACUUUUUUAUUCACAAAAAAAUGCCAAAUUAGGGUAAAAAAAUACUAGGUGGGCCGGCAGUGAGAUGGAAAAGGUAAAGUUUGAUUUGAUAACCCAAUUCAAAGGAAAUAAUUGUGUGUUUGUUUGGAGGAUUGAAUUUUAAAUCCAUUAUUCAUCCUACUUUUUUUUUUCCCCAAUAACAUCAAAUCAAACAUCUGUUUUUUAUUUUUUAUAUUAAACAAAAAUCAAUUUUACAUUCAAAACAUCACAUCAACACCUAUUUAUAUAUCACAUCAUACAACUAUUCAAAUUCAAAAUUUUUACUAUUUAAAUCCCAAUUCAAAAUCUAAACCCCCAAACAAACACACCCUAAAUGUCUGGGGAGAAAGCCAAGUAAAGUUAUUGUGUUGCUCUUUUGCAGCGUGGCACAUGUGAACUGCCAUACCGCUAUUGCGAAAAAAUGGCGAGAAUGAUGCAUUUGUAUAUAAUUAAAUAUAUUAUAUUUUAUAAGUAUUAAAUACAAAAUACCUAGACAAACAAAAAUAAAAAUAAACCAUUAUUCAAUAAAUAAUACAUAAUAAUGCAAUACACUAUUACUACGAUACUAGAAAUAACAAAAAUAGCACUAUUAGAGUGUAUUUUUAGUGGAGUCUUGAGUCUAAAACGCUAAAGAACAUUAAGAUUAAAAUUUCAGCGGGAUGAAGUGGUGAAAUGAAGUUGCAAACAUGGAGAGAGCAAUAGGGAGAGAAAGGAAGGCUAGUUAGGGUUCAAUCGGGCUUAAGAGUUGAGGUGGGUGUGGUUUGGGGGGCUUGGGCUAACUUGGGCUGGAGACUCGCAAUGUUUUGGGAAUUUGGAUAGCACCAUAGCAUCGUUGAGGCAUCGCCAACGCAUCUUCAACCUACUUUGUUUGUGUUCAAAACACACAAUUGGAAUUCGGAAUGGAAAUGAUUGGGAUGUACAAGAAGUUUGUGUUCAAAGCAACUCACCUAUUCUAAACAAUUAACACAAAGGGCCUUCAUUGGGCAUUCGUUAACAAUACAUAUAAUUUCUUGCUCUGGAGCAUGUAAAGGAGUUUUUUCUUUUAAGAUCCGACGUGCUAAACUGUUAUGGCUUGUGCGAACCUCUAACGGAGUUGUGGAAACAAAUGCAUAAACAUCCUAGACUGAGUGCCUAUAAAGGAGUUGUAGACGCCUCACACGCAGGCUUGUCUCCUCUCUACUCGAGGAACAAUAUACAAACAUAUGGUGUUGGAUACACCAUGCGCAAACAUGUUGAGAUAGUAAGUAUUGAUAACAAAAAUAAAUUAACAAAUUGAUAUUUGCGUAACUUCUACUUAAGAAAAACAUACAAACAUUAGAUAUUGAAGACAUCACGCCCAUAAUUGUUGAAGUAGUAGGUAUUGAUGACCAAACUAAAUUAGCAAAUGCGUCAAUCUACUAACUACUUUCUACUUAAGAAUAAUAUAAACACCUUAAAGAAGAGAGAUGCAUAUUCAUUGAGAUUUAUUUAUCUAGGAAACAAAAGUACUCAAGAUUUGCAAAGAUAUUGCAAAUAAAUAAACAACACAAGCUCCCAUAUCAUAAAAUAGUAGAAAAAAAACAUAGGAGUUAAGCCACAAGAGAAGAUGAAACAAAGCCUCUUCUAGUUAAACUUGUUCAACAAAGUCUAAGAAAUUAAAGCAUUCAAUCCAACAAAGAAAAAGUAGAAAGCAAAUCAUACAAGACUAGCAAAUGCAUGAGAAUACGUCCUCCCGGUGCGUCCGCGAGAGCCACAAUGGCAUACCUUCAUUUUAACAUUCCCAGUCCCAUCUUAUAGUUGUAGUCAUAGAACAAUUCUUGGGAAGGAGGGAUGUUUUUUGUUGCAAAAAACAUUAUGUGAGGAACCUUUUUGUCAUUAUGAUCAUAUAGAACAUUU